GACGAACGCUGGCGGCGUGCUUAACACAUGCCAGUCGAACGGAAAGGCCCUGCUUUUGUGGGGUGCUCGAGUGGCGAACGGGUGAGUAACACGUGAGUAACCUGCCCUUGACUUUGGGAUAACUUCAGGAAACUGGGGCUAAUACCGGAUAGGAGCUCCUGCUGCAUGGUGGGGGUUGGAGAGUUUCGGCGGUUGGGGAUGGACUCGCGGCUUAUCAGCUUGUUGGUGGGGUAGUGGCUUACCAAGGCUUUGACGGGUAGCCGGCCUGAGAGGGUGACCGGCCACAUUGGGACUGAGAUACGGCCCAGACUCCUACGGGAGGCAGCAGUGGGGAAUAUUGCACAAUGGGCGGAAGCCUGAUGCAGCAACGCCGCGUGCGGGAUGACGGCCUUCGGGUUGUAAACCGCUUUCGCCUGUGACGAAGCGUGAGUGACGGUAAUGGGUAAAGAAGCACCGGCUAACUACGUG
Molecule: ribosomal RNA, 468 nt
Filed under: uncultured bacterium
Lineage: Bacteria
Description: partial 16S ribosomal RNA
Rfam family: Bacterial small subunit ribosomal RNA
Source: RNAcentral